GUUUGGAAUCAAUGUGCAAUAAAAGCAUUUUUAGAAGGACUAGAAAGAAAUGGAGAGCACUGUUGGCUGUUAGGUGAUUCUGGAUAUGCUCAACGCCCCUGGAUGAUGACUCCAAUCAUAGGUGCAGCUCCGGGAUCGCCAGAAGAGU
This is a long non-coding RNA of Melitaea cinxia (Glanville fritillary), 148 nucleotides long. RefSeq lists it as uncharacterized. The transcript is spliced from 2 exons. The record is from RefSeq and is a predicted model, not a curated record. Lineage: Eukaryota; Metazoa; Arthropoda; Insecta; Lepidoptera; Nymphalidae.